Molecule: non-coding RNA, 2659 nt
Organism: Cajanus cajan (pigeon pea)
Lineage: Eukaryota; Viridiplantae; Streptophyta; Magnoliopsida; Fabales; Fabaceae
Source: RefSeq, a predicted model, not a curated record
CACACGUCUCAAGCAAAUUAUUGUCUCUCUAUAUUAUACUUCCGGUGUUCGUAUCGUCUGAGUUCAUUUUUGUAGCGCUCUUUCGUUUGCCUCUUUUCUCUUCGAAGUUGAAAUGGUCGCCGAAAAGAAACAACAGCGGAACAACACAAAAGCCGAAGAAGAUGCAUAAUUGUUUGGCUCUUGGAACAACGCAUAUGGCUGGUUAAAUGUCAUUGUUGGCAGCACUGCUGUUAUUUGGAGUGACAAAACUGGGACUCUAACUACCAAUAUGUUGUCAAUGCCAAAGGUGUUUGGCUCUUGGAUCAAAGUGUAUGCUUAAGUUAACCCUGCAGUAUAAUCCCGAUAAAGGGAAUUAUGAAAAAUUUCUGGAACCAGAUUCAUGUUUUGUUCUCAAAGGGUGCCCUAUAAAUUAUAAUUUCUAGAUAUACAACCAUUCUGUGCAAUUGAUGAUGGUUCCAUUGUGCCACUUACAGCUGAUAUUUGAGCAGAGCUGGACUCAAGGUUCCUAAGUGGAGCAACAUGAUACCUUUGAGAUUGUCGUGGCCAAGAUAGCAAAACUUCUUGUAUUGCGAUUUGUCAAGGAUUUUCUUAAUUUCCUCUGGUUCAUUGCCAUCUUACCAACACUCUUUGAUUGUGUCUGAUUCAAGUUGCAUUUGCGAAUUUGUUUUUUAUGACUACUAUGCAUGAAUAACUUAGUUAUUUUGAUGGACUCCAACUACUUAUUAGGUUUUUAAACUACUGAAAUUAAACUUUGCUAUUUUAUAAUGCUUACUCAUUCUCUCACAUGUUGCAGGAGAGAGAAGUGAGCAUUUGCAAUUUUUACAUUUUUUUGUUUAUUGUUAUAUGGAGGUGGAGGGUCUCAGGAGAUUGGUGAAUUUUUAAGAUUUAGGGAUUGUUUCACUUUUGCACUUGAAGAUAAUUUUAAGUAGUUAUUGACUUACCUUUUGCACUUGAAUUUGAUUUCAGCUUUGGAAUUUCGAUGAUGGACACAUUUUUGAGGCAUGUAAAGACAAUCUCAAGAAUCUUUAGUUAAGUUAUCUAGAUUCACUUUCUUAUUGUCAAAAGGCAUACUGGUAUGUUUUCAAUUUCUUGUUUGUUUUCUUUCUGAUUGUUGUUACGUUUCUUCCUGAUUCUUGUUUAUCUUUGCUACUUGUUAGAGUUUUUCUCUUUGUUCCUCAUUCUGGUGACCUUGUGCUGAUGGAAGGUAGAAAUGAUGUUACGCGUUUCUCUGCUUUUCAAUUUCUUGUUGAUUCUUGCUUGUCUUUGUUACUCGCCAGGGUUUUUCUUUAAAACCUUUUUUCUAGGGAUCUCUUCCUCAUCUGCGUUGUAUUUCUUCUGUUUUCUUCUGUUAUUGGAAAAGAAUUAAUUGAUUUUCAUAAUGCAGUAUCACAGCAUCAGUUCAAAUAGAGUAACGGAAGUUAAGAUAAAAAAGUGGUCAUUUAAAGUUGAAAUGACAAAAUAGUCUAAUCAAAAUGUUUACAUGAAAAAUGCCUUUAUUAAUAGUACUAAUAAAAAAGAACUUUAUAUAUUUAUAAUUAUCAAAUUGUGCUAAUAAAUUUCAUGGUAGAAAUUGCCGGAUUUGUUACCUCUAAAAAUCAACAAAUGAUGCAUAUAAUUGAGUAGUGAUCCUACGAGAAGGUGAUUUUAAAUACAAAAAUGCUAAUAUCAUAUUUCUAGACACUAUCCAACACAAUUCCUAUUAUUAUGAGAUCCAUAUAAAUUUAACUCAUUAAUAGAAAGUGUUAAAAGAGUGUGUUGCUCUCAUUGUACUAAAACAUAAUGAUCUGAAACACAUCACAUGGAAAACUCUUUUUAAGACUUUUUGAAUUUAAAGAUUGGUCAGAAUGAUAUUUCUGCAUUCAGCAUGAAAGUGGAAAUGUGCCACACUGGCACUGCCAUGCACUUUAAUACAUUCUCCCAAGUCCUAAACUCCAAGCAAAUGUAUAGUGUCAUUGGUAAUUCUGUGUGAUUUGAUAUCAAGUUUUCUCCAUACAAUUGCAGAUCCAUGUUCAGGUAAAAUACCCGGAGACAACAGAAUUGGGGAUGGAAUUUGUGAAGUCUAUGAGUGAGCAAGAUUUCUAUGUCUACCCUGAGGCAGAUAUGUUGCUUACAAGGAAAACUAAGAAACCAUUUUCGUCAUUCUCGGAAUGUGGAAGGGGUUGGGCUGAUCCUGAGAUCCGCCGCCAGCGCUUGGAAAAAAUGAAUCUCAAUAAAAAGCCAAAGAUGCUACAAAAUCCCAAAAACAAAAGGCAACGAAGGAGAAAAGCUGUCACUUGUGCAUUAAUGGUCCACCACAGAGACUGCAUCUAAAAGAAGAUGCAGUUGAUCUAAUGAGCAGGCAGAAACGAAAGCCUGAGACAGCAAGUUUGUUGCAAACAAGGCUCAUGGACAGGUGUUUUAUCAUAAAAUAGUGGUUGCCUUCUUAAUUUGUACAAAUGUAUCCCAAAACUUGGUGGUCCCAGACCUGCAUUAUGAGAGGUGGAACACUCUCGAUGUUUGUGGUCGAACAAUGUUAGAGAGUUUCCAUCGAGGUCUUGAAAGAGAACUGUGAGUGGGAAGAUAAAAAUCAUUACACCAUUGUAGAUACAGAUGAUAUUUGUAAGGUUUCCUUUAAUUUUAGUUUUUUUGAUUGCAAUAAAAUUUCUAUUUUUCUUUCCUU